RNAcentral lists this ribosomal RNA (796 nucleotides) under uncultured Pseudomonadota bacterium. RNAcentral's name for it is "bacterial SSU rRNA". It matches the Rfam family "Bacterial small subunit ribosomal RNA", at positions 71 to 845 of the family's 1533-position model. The record is from RNAcentral. Lineage: Bacteria; Pseudomonadati; Pseudomonadota.
AAAGUGGAGCAAUCCAUGAGUAGAGUGGCAAACGGGUGAGUAACACGUGGGUGACCUGCCUUCGAGCGGGGGAUAACGUCCCGAAAGGGACGCUAAUACCGCAUAACAUCCUGCCUUUUAAGAGGUGGAGAUCAAAGCCGGGGAUCGCAAGACCUGGCACUUGAAGAGGGGCCCGCGCCUGAUUAGCUAGUUGGUGGGGUAAUGGCUCACCAAGGCAACGAUCAGUAUCCGGCCUGAGAGGGCGGACGGACACACUGGGACUGAGACACGGCCCAGACUCCUACGGGAGGCAGCAGUGGGGAAUUGUUCGCAAUGGGCGCAAGCCUGACGACGCAACGCCGCGUGGAGGAUGAAGACCUUCGGGUCGUAAACUCCUUUCGAUCGAGACUAAUGGUUUCCGGGUGAACAAUCCGGAGAAAUGACGGUACCGAGAGAAGAAGCCCCGGCUAACUCCGUGCCAGCAGCCGCGGUAAUACGGGGGGGGCAAGCGUUGUUCGGAAUUACUGGGCGUAAAGGGCUCGUAGGUGGCCAACUAAGUCAGACGUGAAAUCCCUCAGCUUAACUGGGGAACUGCGUCUGAUACUGGAUGGCUUGAGUUUGGGAGAGGGAUGCGGAAUUCCAGGUGUAGCGGUGAAAUGCGUAGAUAUCUGGAGGAACACCGGUGGCGAAGGCGGCAUCCUGGACCAAUACUGACACUGAGGAGCGAAAGCCAGGGGAGCAAACGGGAUUAGAUACCCCGGUAGUCCUGGCCCUAAACGAUGAAUGCUUGGUGUGGCGGGUAUCGAUCCCUGCCGUG